GACGAACGCUGGCGGCGUGCUUAACACAUGCAAGUCGAACGGAAAGGCCCUGCUUUUGUGGCGUGCUCGAGUGGCGAACGGGUGUGUAACACGUGAGUAACCUGCCCUUGACUUUGGGAUAACUUCAGGAAACUGGGGCUAAUACAGGAUAUGAGCUCCUUCUGCAUGGUGGGGGUUGGAAAGUUUCGGCGGUUGGGGAUGGACUCGCGGCUUAUCAGCUUGUUGGUGGGGUAGUGGCUUACCAAGGCUUUGACGGGUAGCCGGCCUGAGAGGGUGACCGGCCACAUUGGGACUGAGAUACGGCCCAGACUCCUACGGGAGGCAGCAGUGGGGAACAUUGCACAAUGGGCGGAAGCCUGAUGCAGCAACGCCGCGUGCGGGAUGACGGCCUUCGGGUUGUAAACCGCUUUCGCCUGUGACGAAGCGUGAGUGACGGUAAUGGGUAAAGAAGCAACGGCUAACUACGUG
RNAcentral lists this ribosomal RNA (468 nucleotides) under uncultured bacterium. Its description in RNAcentral is "partial 16S ribosomal RNA". It matches the Rfam family "Bacterial small subunit ribosomal RNA", at positions 28 to 507 of the family's 1533-position model. The record is from RNAcentral.